AAAUCAUGGUGAGGAUAUUUUCUAAGCAUCUUCUUAAAUCUCUUCCAACUUUUAUAAACAGAUUCCCCUGCAAAUUGGGCAAAAGAAGACAUAUCAUUUUUAAGUUU
Dendrobium catenatum is the source of this 107-nucleotide small nucleolar RNA. Lineage: Eukaryota; Viridiplantae; Streptophyta; Magnoliopsida; Asparagales; Orchidaceae. The record is from RefSeq and is a predicted model, not a curated record.